GGAGCACUUCUUCAAGCGGGCGGUGCGCGCGGAGCCGGCGGACGCGGAGGCGAUGGGGCGGUACGCGGCGUUCCUGUGGCAGGCGCGCAACGACCUCGCGGCCGCGGAGGAGACGUACCAGGAGGCCAUCGCCGCCGACCCCGGCAACGCGCACCACGCGGCGGCCUACGCGCACUUCCUGUGGAACACUGGCGGUGAGGACACAUGCUACCCCCUCGACUGAUGCCGCCGCUACCGUGCAACACAGAUCAUCGGUGCCUCCCAUAAAACCCAAACACAAAAAG
RNAcentral lists this long non-coding RNA (284 nucleotides) under Setaria italica (foxtail millet). Its description in RNAcentral is "long non-coding RNA (SITA_LNC004106)". Lineage: Eukaryota; Viridiplantae; Streptophyta; Magnoliopsida; Poales; Poaceae. The record is from RNAcentral.